AAUGGAGGUCCCUAAGGGAUCUGUACCAAAUAUACAAUUGACAAUAAAUAAAAGUAAAAUUUUAUUUAUUAUCAAUUGUAUACUUGGUAUAGAUCCCUUAGGAAUCUCCAU
Molecule: non-coding RNA, 111 nt
Organism: Pelobates cultripes (western spadefoot toad)
Lineage: Eukaryota; Metazoa; Chordata; Amphibia; Anura; Pelobatidae
Source: the annotation of a GenBank genome assembly